RNAcentral lists this ribosomal RNA (437 nucleotides) under Salmonella enterica. RNAcentral's name for it is "bacterial SSU rRNA". The record is from RNAcentral. Lineage: Bacteria; Pseudomonadati; Pseudomonadota; Gammaproteobacteria; Enterobacterales; Enterobacteriaceae.
CUUCCGGAGCUAACGCGUUAAGUAGACCGCCUGGGGAGUACGGCCGCAAGGUUAAAACUCAAAUGAAUUGACGGGGGCCCGCACAAGCGGUGGAGCAUGUGGUUUAAUUCGAUGCAACGCGAAGAACCUUACCUGGUCUUGACAUCCACAGAAYUYUSCAGAGAUGCGGAAGUGCCUUCGGGAACUGUGAGACAGGUGCUGCAUGGCUGUCGUCAGCUCGUGUUGUGAAAUGUUGGGUUAAGUCCCGCAACGAGCGCAACCCUUAUCCUUUGUUGCCAGCGGUYMGGCCGGGAACUCAAAGGAGACUGCCAGUGAUAAACUGGAGGAAGGUGGGGAUGACGUCAAGUCAUCAUGGCCCUUACGACCAGGGCUACACACGUGCUACAAUGGCGCAUACAAAGAGAAGCGACCUCGCGAGAGCAAGCGGACCUCAUAAA